RNAcentral lists this ribosomal RNA (311 nucleotides) under uncultured soil bacterium. RNAcentral's name for it is "bacterial SSU rRNA". It matches the Rfam family "Bacterial small subunit ribosomal RNA", at positions 26 to 356 of the family's 1533-position model. The record is from RNAcentral.
AGGAUGAACGCUGGCGGCGUGCCUAAUACAUGCAAGUCGAGCGGUAAGGCCCCUUCGGGGGUACACGAGCGGCGGACGGCUGAGUAACACGUAGGAACGUACCCCAAAGUGAGGCAUAAGCACCAGAAAUGGUGUCUAAUACCGCAUGUGGCCCUAGGGCUAAAGCUCCGGCGCUUUGGGAACGGCCUGCGCAUGAUUAGCUUGUUGGUGAGGUAAUAGCUCACCAAGGCGAUGAUCAUUAGCUGGUCUGAGAGGAUGACCAGCCAGACUGGGACUGAGAACGGCCCAGACUCCUACGGGAGGCAGCAGUA